UCCGAGUUGACCCCGGCAGUCUCCUAUGAGUCCCCACCAUAACGUGCUGGCAACAUGAGACAAGGGUUGCGCUCGUUGCGGGACUUAACCCAACAUCUCGCGACACGAGCUGACGACAGCCAUGCAGCACCUGUGUGUAGGUCCCGUAAGGGAAGGAAUCCAUCUCUGGAAACCGUCCUACCAUGUCAAACGCUGGUAAGGUUCUUCGCGUCGCAUCGAAUUAAGCCGCAUGCUCCGCCGCUUGUGCGGGCCCCCGUCAAUUCCUUUGAGUUUUAGCCUUGCGGCCGUACUCCCCAGGCGGGGUGCUUAAUGCGUUAGCUUCGGCACGGGGGGAGUCGACACCCCCCACACCUAGCACUCAUCGUUUACGGCGUGGACUAC
Molecule: unclassified non-coding RNA, 381 nt
Filed under: uncultured Actinomycetes bacterium
Lineage: Bacteria; Bacillati; Actinomycetota; Actinomycetes
Description: uncultured actinobacterium contains 16S-23S intergenic spacer region
Source: RNAcentral